This 252-nucleotide ribosomal RNA is filed under the name uncultured Desulfomicrobium sp. RNAcentral's name for it is "partial 16S ribosomal RNA". It matches the Rfam family "Bacterial small subunit ribosomal RNA", at positions 1132 to 1382 of the family's 1533-position model. Lineage: Bacteria; Pseudomonadati; Thermodesulfobacteriota; Desulfovibrionia; Desulfovibrionales; Desulfomicrobiaceae. The record is from RNAcentral.
UGGGCACUCUGUGGAGACUGCCCGGGUUUAACCCGGGAGGAAGGUGGGGAUGACGUCAAGUCAUCAUGGCCCUUACGCCUAGGGCUACACACGUACUACAAUGGUGGGUACAAAGGGCAGCAAAACCGCGAGGUCGAGCGAAUCUCAAAAACCCAUCAUAGUCCGGAUUGCAGUCUGCAACUCGACUGCAUGAAGUUGGAAUCGCUAGUAAUCCCGGAUCAGCAUGCCGGGGUGAAUACGUUCCCGGGCCUU